UUGACCUCGGAUCAGGUAGGAAUACCCGCUGAACUUAAGCAUAUCAAUAAGCGGAGGAAAAGAAACCAACAGGGAUUGCCCUAGUAACGGCGAGUGAAGCGGCAACAGCUCAAAUUUGAAAUCUGGCUCUCGGGCCCGAGUUGUAAUUUGUAGAGGAUACUUUUGAUGCGGUGCCUUCCGAGUUCCCUGGAACGGGACGCCAUAGAGGGUGAGAGCCCCGUCUGGUUGGAUGCCAAAUCUCUGUAAAGUUCCUUCAACGAGUCGAGUAGUUUGGGAAUGCUGCUCUAAAUGGGAGGUAUAUGUCUUCUAAAGCUAAAUACCGGCCAGAGACCGAUAGCGCACAAGUAGAGUGAUCGAAAGAUGAAAAGCACUUUGAAAAGAGAGUUAAAAAGUACGUGAAAUUGUUGAAAGGGAAGCGUUUAUGACCAGACUUGGGCUUGGUUAAUCAUCUGGGGUUCUCCCCAGUGCACUUUUCCAGUCCAGGCCAGCAUCAGUUUUCCCCGGGGGAUAAAGGCGGCGGGAAUGUGGCUCUCUUCGGGGAGUGUUAUAGCCC
This 553-nucleotide ribosomal RNA is filed under the name Fusarium sp. M3. Its description in RNAcentral is "eukaryotic LSU rRNA". It matches the Rfam family "Eukaryotic large subunit ribosomal RNA", at positions 1 to 564 of the family's 3401-position model. Lineage: Eukaryota; Fungi; Ascomycota; Sordariomycetes; Hypocreales; Nectriaceae. The record is from RNAcentral.